GUAACACCCUAAUCUAAUUAAGGAGUUAAAUAUAAAAUUUAAAUAAAUAUUUAAUGCGGAAGUCUUUUAAAAUAAUUUAAAACUCACUUUUAAAAUAAAUAUUUUCGAAAAUAAUUUUAAGAAAAAGAAAUCUUUAAAUAAAAUUGGUUCUUAAAGCACUUUUAAAACGAUUUAUAAGAUAUCAAAAUUUUCAAUAAUGUAUUCAAA
RNAcentral lists this long non-coding RNA (207 nucleotides) under Salvia miltiorrhiza (redroot sage). Its description in RNAcentral is "long non-coding RNA (SMIL_LNC012369)". Lineage: Eukaryota; Viridiplantae; Streptophyta; Magnoliopsida; Lamiales; Lamiaceae. The record is from RNAcentral.